CAAGGACAUCAACUGCCCGCGGGUGUGUUGCGUUCAGAGUUCAGAGUCUUCAGUGUUGAACUCUUCAGCGGAGAACAGCCAGACACACAGGAUGCGCGCGCUGACGGGAGUGGUGGUGAUGCUGGCGGUUCUGGUGUGCUCGAUGGCGGCGGCGCGGUGUCCCAUCGACUGCCGCGUGGUGCGGUGCGCCGGCAUCCCUCAGAGCAACUGCACCGCGCUGGGCGGGACCUUCCUGCCCGCCGACCACUGCAGCAGCUGCUGCGACACGUGCGCCGUCACCAGGCAUCCUGGAGAAUCCUGCGAGCUAUCGAAUUUUGCAGUAAGAGUUACGUGUCAACCACCAUCAACAUGCGUGGAUAACGUCUGUAUGUGAUUUCAAAGAACAAAUUGUGUAUACUUCAAAAUUUAAACUGACAAAACUUAUUAUCUUGUUGAAAAUAAACAUUUUUCUAAAGCUCUCAGCACCUUAAAGGAAAUUGCAAUUUAUUUUAAUUUAUAACCAUACACCUAGGCGGGAAAAAGUACGCGUGGAAAGGUAUCGUUUACGUAUCUAUCAAGGUGAUUCACGAAGAAGUGUCAUAAACUGAAAAAAAAGGCUAGUGACUGACAUUGUUUAGAGUUAGCAAACUUGAGGUGCGAUCGCAACACGUGUGUAGUCUCGAUGUUGCGCAUAAACGCACCUAUGUGAGGCGCGCGCGCUCACAGCAUUGACAGACGGUGGUCGCCGCAGAUUAGAGGCUGGUGUUCCCAUGAGUGCGGCGGAAUGCAUGGCCAAUAAAGGUGGCGAGUUUGAAGAUUUAUUUUAAAUUGUGGUAACCAUUAAAAUAACCAGUUAUCAGCUCCUUCGUGUCUUCCACUUUGCCACGAAUCAUCUUGUAUAUGUUUGUCUAGCCAAAUACAAGGAAACAUUCAGUGAAUGCAAAAAUAAUUGACAGUGAAAUAAUGAAAAAUUGUUUAUGAAUUAUUUUUCAGAGCGGGAACAGCUACUUUAAGCUAAGGUAGUAUGCGACAGAUCAGGUUUAGAGCUUUAAAACUUCAAAUAUCCUCUCCAAUAUAUAUAAUUCACAUAGGCCUAUACCAUAAGUUGGAGGAUAUUGGUAGAUUGGUGACGAAGGUACAAUUGAUUAUGGUCGUAGGUCUCUCGCUGUAUAGUAAAGUUUCAAGAUCUGCAAGCCAGAAAAUUUUAUGAUUUUGAAAUUUAUAGGGUUCGUUUGCCUUCCAUGAACAUGUAGGCUGCCUUCACUUUUGAUGCCAAUUUAUGUACACGUCUUUUGUAUGCGUAUAUGUACUGGUGAUGCCUAUAUGUAGUUUGCCAAUUAUGUAAAAGUUAUAUAAUAUAUAUUUAUAUUUCCUUGUUAGGUAGGCAAUACCUUUAUAUGAUAAUAAUUUAUAUUUGGGUGCCUAGAAUGUUUACUAUUCUCACCACACAGUAUUAUUAAUACUGUUAGCCAGAUAGGAAAAAAGCCAUUUGAAUAACAUCCUUUUAAUAUCAGUAAAAUAGGGCAGGUUAAAGGUAUUAACGAUAAACGUGAUAAUUGGUAGAGAAAAAUAGUGAAUCGAUUACUGGACAAGGUUAUUAAGUGAUAACAUACACAACUGCAGAUUACAGUCGUAGGAGAACUUUAUAUAUCUGUAUACUGUUGUGGUCAGGACAGUAAACAGCAUGCAAUUUACGUGUUUUAAAGACUGAUACACAAGAACACAUAUACACCUGCAACAGUGAUCUUAAGAUACUUGGUUAAAUAAAGAAACAAUUAAUUUUUGUAACACAGCUCAGUAUAACUGUGCCGGACCCUCUUCCUAAUAGUCUGGUAAUGUACGUCGGGCAGAAUUAAAGGACAAUAGUUCUGUUUCCAGUUUUCCAGUUUCACUGAUAUGAAUUGCACAUAAUUUUAUUACUGUAUGUGUCUCUACAGUGGGAUCAAUAUUUCUCAAAAUACUAAUUUUAUUAACAAGUAUGUGGUAGCUACUUGUGAGUGUUCGGCUCAAAGCGAAAUGAGUCCCAAAAUCCCCGGACAGCUGGGGAGAAAAGAGUAAUGAUCUUGAAAUUGAUUUGCGGAUAGGCAACGUUACUAUUUUCAGCAACAUGUACUAAAACGGAUAAAUCAGUAGGAACCAGUAUUUUACACACAGUAAAUACAUAACAAUUUUUAUGUUGUAGAGUUGCUUUCUGACGCACUUGGCUUGUUUAAAACACAAGGCUUUACAGUAAAUACAGUCUGAAAGUAUUUCAACGCUUACUGCGAACUUGUUUAUGAUGCACACUCCUAUGUUACAACUCCUUGUGGAAUUGACUUAGUUCUAUAUACUUUCCUAGACUUUAAAUGAAUUAAGUCCAACAAUUUUGAUAUGUAUUGCUUAAGAGAGCUAAAUACACAUUAUUUGUAUUAAGAUAUUAAUACCACGUGUGCAUUCGAUGGCUUCUAGUCCCAGAAGAACGUUUUAUGACCUAAAAUAAUUAUUCUGAUUAGCCAGCUGUGGCCUAAGCCAACAGAUGCCUAAUGUAAAAGUUGAUAGAAACAAACGUAAAUGAAGGCUAACAUGAGAUAGACAAACAUCAAAUGCAAAUCAAAAUAUUUGCACUUAAUAAAAUGUUUAGGUAAAAAAUAACAUAUUUCAAUACUACCUAGAGGGGUACAAUAUAUUGUUGUCAAAUGGCAUCUCUAGCUUGCAUAGAGUAGCAUGAUCCAUAGAGAUCCAAACACAAUAUUAUUAAAUGUAAAUAAACAGUUUUGCAUGGACCACUGUGACUCAUUUCGUCACAAUGUGAAACGGCAUGGGAAGGGGCAUAGGAAAGAAUUUGAUUCAUGUGAACUCGUAAAAUAUAAAUUUCUUCUUCAGAAAAAGUUUCCAUAAGAAAUGCUUCUCUUACGAGAAUAAAUGAAAGGACU
This is a long non-coding RNA of Bacillus rossius redtenbacheri, 2891 nucleotides long. RefSeq lists it as uncharacterized. The record is from RefSeq and is a predicted model, not a curated record. The transcript has 3 exons. Lineage: Eukaryota; Metazoa; Arthropoda; Insecta; Phasmatodea; Bacillidae.